CCUACGGGAGGCAGCAGUAGGGAAUCUUCCGCAAUGGCCGCAAGUCUGACGGAGCAACGCCGCGUGAACGUAGAAGGUCUUCGGAUCGUAAAGCUCUGUUGUCAGGGAAGAACAAGUACCGUUCGAUAAGGGCGGUACCUUGACGGUACCUGUCGAGAAAGCCACGGCUAACUACGUGCCAGCAGCCGCGGUAAU
This 195-nucleotide ribosomal RNA is filed under the name uncultured bacterium. Its description in RNAcentral is "partial 16S ribosomal RNA". It matches the Rfam family "Bacterial small subunit ribosomal RNA", at positions 338 to 524 of the family's 1533-position model. The record is from RNAcentral.